UGAAACCCUAACGUGUAGUUCUCCAGCGGCUGCCGCCUACCGCUGCGUGCCUCCCUCCCUGGCCCAUGCGACCCUGCUGGCUGCUCGUGUGUCCUGUGUCUCCUGCGAGCUACGACCCUACUGGCUGCUGGCAGAUUGUCGUCCUCUAUCUCCUCUCCUCCGCGACCGCGGGUGCACGAAGCCGGGCAGUUGGCCGCGAGGACAAAGGAGGCUGGAGUACGGCUAGCCAGCCGCCAGACGGCCAGAGCGUGGAGCGCGACUACGCGAGGGAUCUGGGCGGGUGAUUUGUCCAGCACUCAAGCCUCUAGCCAAUCCUAGUUACUGUAACUCGGUUCAAAUUCACGUGCUAACGUGGAUGAAGUUAUUAGAGGUGGAGAAGGACCAAAUCGUCUCUAAUUAGUUUAACUGGCAGGAUCAUCGACGAGCGGAGAAGGAGGUUGAAGUCUGAUGUGGUUGAGAUGUUGACAUGCAUUAAAGAUUGGGAGGAUGCUGAAGCAAAGAUGCAACACAUGGUGGAUGACAAAGAGCUUGAAGAAACAUUUAAAAAUCUUUAUCUUGAUUAGUCUCUUACUCUCUUUGUGACCAUUUGUGUAAUGAGACUGUAAUAUUAUGCACCUGGACUUUGUUGUAAGGACAAUGAACUUUUUAAUGAGCUGGGAUGUACUCUUUUUUCCUGUCUAGGUUUCUCACAAGGGUGAGUUUUACCUAGACAUGUUUUUAACGAGGCAGCCAUUGCA
Molecule: long non-coding RNA, 737 nt
Organism: Zea mays
Lineage: Eukaryota; Viridiplantae; Streptophyta; Magnoliopsida; Poales; Poaceae
Exons: 3
Source: RefSeq, a predicted model, not a curated record